UGCGAGCGUUAAUCGGAAUUACUGGGCGUAAAGCGCACGUAGGCGGCUUGGUAUGUCGGGUGUGAAAUCCCCGGGCUCAACCUGGGAACUGCAUCCGAAACUGCCUUGCUAGAGUAUGGGAGAGGGAAGUGGAAUUUCCGGUGUAGCGGUGAAAUGCGUAGAUAUCGGAAGGAACAUCAGUGGCGAAGGCGACUUCCUGGACCAAUACUGACGCUCAGGUGCGAAAGCGUGGGGAGCAAACAGG
RNAcentral lists this ribosomal RNA (244 nucleotides) under uncultured bacterium. RNAcentral's name for it is "partial 16S ribosomal RNA". It matches the Rfam family "Bacterial small subunit ribosomal RNA", at positions 533 to 776 of the family's 1533-position model. The record is from RNAcentral.